AGGACGAACGCUGGCGGCGUGCUUAACACAUGCAAGUCGAGCGGAAAGGCCCUUCGGGGUACUCGAGCGGCGAACGGGUGAGUAACACGUGAGCAACCUGCCCUUAGCUUCGGGAUAGCUCCGGGAAACCGGAAUUAAUACCGAAUAUGACUUUGGCUGACAUCAGCAGAAGUGGAAAGUUUUUCGGCUAGGGAUGGACUCGCGGCCUAUCAGCUAGUUGGUGAGGUAACGGCCCACCAAGGCGACGACGGGUAGCCGGCCUGAGAGGGCGACCGGCCACACUGGGACUGAGACACGGCCCAGACUCCUACGGGAGGCAGCAGUGGGGAAUAUUGCGCAAUGGGCGAAAGCCUGACGCAGCGACGCCGCGUGGGGGAUGAAUGCCUUCGGUUGUAACCCUUUCAGCAGGGACGAAGCGAAAGUGACGGUACCUGCAGAAGAGCGCCGGCUAACUACGUGCCAGCAGCCGC
This 470-nucleotide ribosomal RNA is filed under the name uncultured bacterium. RNAcentral's name for it is "SSU rRNA". It matches the Rfam family "Bacterial small subunit ribosomal RNA", at positions 26 to 518 of the family's 1533-position model. The record is from RNAcentral.